RNAcentral lists this transfer RNA (70 nucleotides) under Paenalicyclobacillus curvatus. Its description in RNAcentral is "Alicyclobacillus curvatus tRNA-Arg". Lineage: Bacteria; Bacillati; Bacillota; Bacilli; Caryophanales; Alicyclobacillaceae. The record is from RNAcentral.
GUAGAUUUAAUAGUAUCGGUGGUUUCCUAAACCGCGUCUUGCGGGGGUUCGAGUCCCUCCGGGUGCGCCA